This 1208-nucleotide long non-coding RNA is filed under the name Bos grunniens (domestic yak). RNAcentral describes it as "lncRNA (ENSBGRG00000013010.1)". Lineage: Eukaryota; Metazoa; Chordata; Mammalia; Artiodactyla; Bovidae. The record is from RNAcentral.
CCCAACCCAAAAGGAGGGUUUCUGAGUGUGAAAUCUAUUCAGCGUGUUGGCUGUGCUUUAUCACUUAUAAUGGGACUGAGACCAAAAUAUUGUCCCGGAGUGCUGGUGUUUGCCUGGCACUUGGCACACCUUUCCAUCCGUAAGACUUCCAUCAUUACAGCCAGUUAGCACCCUCAGCAUCAGCCCCGCGACAGGUCCAGGUGACCCGUCCCCACUCCCCCAGCCCAGAGGCAAGGUGACCGGCAGAGGCUCCCUCCUGACUGUCGCCUUCAGCACGUCCUCUGGACAGUGUGGGGCCCCAGAGCACAGUCCCCAGGGACAGACAGCGUGGUCACUUCAGACGCAGGUGUCCCCACGGCCCCUCGCAGCUCAGCCCUUAACCCGCUGGACACAGCGCGCCGGGACCCACUCCUGACCCCCGGCCAGCUGCUCCGCGUUGCUCUGUCUGUGGUCACACGUUUGUUCUUGCCAAAAACUCUACAAACUCUCUUUUCUUUCUUUCCUUCCAUGUCUCCGCCCUCCCCUUUCGUUUUCAGUUUCUAUUUUUGUUCUUGUUUUUCUCCUUAGCUUUCAUUCUGUGGUCAUAGCUCGCCUGGGCACUCUGGUGUGCCCCCCUUUCCUCCAGCUUUACCGGAGAGCGGCGAGUGCCCGUCCCUGAAGACUCAGGGGGAGCCGGCCUCUGCAGACCCCCUGCCGUCGAGGAGGAGGGAGAGAGGGGGUCUCUGAGCACCUCCCAGGGGACUGUUCACUUUGAUGAGCCGGAAUUAGAACUCGUUCUCCGACCGGGCUUCUCUGAAGAGGCCUGGUCUUGGCUGCGGACCCCAGGUCCUUGCUUGGGACACAGCCCCUGGCCCCACUUACGGGGACACUCGGGGCCCCUGCUGGCGGGUGCCCAGGCUGCUUCGGUGCAGGAGCCCCGGCCCCUGCCUCCCCUGGUUCCCUCAGUGACCGCAAUAGGAGUCAGAAGAGAGGGCGGACUCCCAGAAACAACGCAGGCGGCCCGCAGCACGCCGCGGUGGGGCUGCUGCCACGACGGGGACCUUUGUCCAGGGCACCCGGGCGGCUCAUGGAGCAUCUCCAGUGUGGUUCCCCGGGUCUCCCGGGCCAGCUGUGAAGACGCUGCAACUCGCUCGCCGGGGUCCUGGGCACUUGCCGACCGACGCAUGCGGCCACCCUGCUGUGUUGGACACUGUCGCCAGUGGGAAUAG